Long non-coding RNA from Sycon ciliatum, 1097 nucleotides. RefSeq lists it as uncharacterized. Lineage: Eukaryota; Metazoa; Porifera; Calcarea; Leucosolenida; Sycettidae. The record is from RefSeq and is a predicted model, not a curated record. The transcript has 2 exons.
GUUGAUAUUCAUGGUAAAUAAAAGGACUAAUGAACUAGAGGUUACGCCAUACGGCUCAUAGAAGCAGUACCAGGAGAGGGAUAGUGAACAGGUAGGCGAAACAGGCCUCACCAAGCCGCCUACAAGGUUGCUGCAGUUGAUGCUUCCAAUAAUGUUGAUCAUCUGGCAUGGUGGAAAGAUCAUGAUAACAUCGUCAAUUGGCAGACGUCUGUGAAGAUUGUGCUCAACAUCCCACCCUCAUCUGCAGCUCCAGAAUGAGUAUUCUUCUCCCCGAGUCGGCAGUCUCAUAAAUCCAGCAACGUACACUGAAAGGUCGCAUCGAAGGAGGUGAGAUUCUGAACCUAUGGAUAACUCCAGGCUCUGCAGUUGUCACUUCAAGGAUGGCGUGACGGCGAACUCGCCAUCUAUUUUCCACAGAACAUUAAUUUUAAGAAGUUCAUGGAUUUUCCUGACCCAGAGAUCAAGUCAAGGUCAGUGUGUCCUCUGUCAUACAAAUCUUCAUUCUCACCAUUUCGUUUAUCUUGACAGUAGAACUCUGCUUCUCCCGCCUGCUAGGUUAUAUUAUAUCCCUUGUUUUGUUUAUUUGUUCAACAGAGUGCUUCACCUUCUCAUUAAUACAAGUUGCAUACUUCUUUGUGUGAGCAGACAUAAUAUAGCUUUUCUAGAUUUUCAAUGCAUAUGCACACAUAAUAGUAAUGUGGUGCCAAGAUGGAAACAGUCACGUGACAGAGUGAAACUGGUCUGCGUAUAAUGGGUAAUAUCGUCUUGGUUGCCAUGGACACGGAUAAAUAAGGCUUCUUCUAGGUCUAAGUGGUAGAACACCUCCUGUACUGGACCUGACAUGUUUGUCAUAAAGGGAUCCUUACAAAUACUGUCGGCGAAAAGGAUUGAUCGAGAGUAAUAUCGUCUCUGACUUGUGAGUACAUGAUGGAGUUGUCUUGUGCAGUUUGCAAUUUUCUAAAAGCACGUGAGACGCUCGAUAUGAUUUUGUUGGUGUUCACUUGGCUUCUACCUCACGCCUAUGUCUAUCUCUACUCCAGUAUUGACGUUUGUUUUGAGGCAUAAUCUAUUUGUUGUGUCUCCCUUACUCCUCGUGA